CCUGCUCUGCAGGCAUGGGUGAGGUCAGCGUCCUUCAGUCCUGCUUCAGCUUCAAGGAACCAAGACUUUAAACAGAGUAGACAGGUUGUCUUCUCUAAGCAAGGAACUGGAGUUUCCCCAAGGCCGAGAGAUCACAGGCAUCUGUGAGAGGAGUCAUGUGCUGUGGGAAGGGACACCAGCACCUCAGCAGGGGCCCUGGUCACAUCUGCUCCCCGCACUGUUCAAAUAGGUCUCUGUGUGGAACAGUGCUGAGGACACUGGGACUGCGUGUAGAACAACCCUGUGUCAGUGGCCAACACAGCCAUGUGCGCUCGCCAGCCCAAGACCACGAGCCCCUUCCCACGGGCCUCUUCUGCUCCGGCAUUCUCAAGAGCACCGGUAAUACAGAACUCACUUCAUUUAAAGGAGAAGCAUACGCCACUGUCCGUGUAAAGCAGAAGUGCUCACAUCAGUGGGGUUUCAAACUGGGGGGGAGGGGGACGGGGGUACUUGUGAGCUUCCUGCUCUAGCAACAGCUCUUAGCAAUGAGGACCCUUGCAUCCCACAACAACAGCAUGACUUAUCCAAGCUCACACAGUCUGAGGCUUAAAUCUGGGUACACUCAGUUAUAAGCAAGAAUUCCUU
Molecule: long non-coding RNA, 624 nt
Organism: Mustela erminea (ermine)
Lineage: Eukaryota; Metazoa; Chordata; Mammalia; Carnivora; Mustelidae
Exons: 4
Source: RefSeq, a predicted model, not a curated record